UACGGGGGGGGCAAGCGUUGUUCGGAAUUACUGGGCGUAAAGGGCUCGUAGGCGGCCAACUAAGUCAGACGUGAAAUCCCUCGGCUUAGCCGGGGAACUGCGUCUGAUACUGGAUGGCUUGAAUCCGGGAGAGGGAUGCGGAAUUCCAGGUGUAGCGGUGAAAUGCGUAGAUAUCUGGAGGAACACCGGUGGCGAAGGCGGCAUCCUGGACCGGCAUUGACGCUGAGGAGCGAAAGCCAGGGGAGCAAACGGG
RNAcentral lists this ribosomal RNA (253 nucleotides) under uncultured bacterium. RNAcentral's name for it is "partial 16S ribosomal RNA". It matches the Rfam family "Bacterial small subunit ribosomal RNA", at positions 524 to 776 of the family's 1533-position model. The record is from RNAcentral.